This 468-nucleotide ribosomal RNA is filed under the name uncultured bacterium. Its description in RNAcentral is "partial 16S ribosomal RNA". It matches the Rfam family "Bacterial small subunit ribosomal RNA", at positions 28 to 507 of the family's 1533-position model. The record is from RNAcentral.
GACGAACGCUGGCGGCGUGCUUAACACAUGCAAGUCGAACGGAAAGGCCCUGCUUUUGUGGGGUGCUCGAGUGGCGAACGGGUGAGUAACACGUGAGUAACCUGCCCUUGACUUUGGGAUAACUUCAGGAAACUGGGGCUAAUACCGGAUAGGAGCUCCUGCUGCAUGGUGGGGGUUGGAAAGUUUCGGCGGUUGGGGAUGGACUCGCGGCUUAUCAGCUUGUUGGUGGGGUAGUGGCUUACCAAGGCUUUGACGGGUAGCCGGCCUGAGAGGGUGACCGGCGACCUUGGGACUGAGAUACGGCACAGACUCCUACGGGAGGCAGCAGUGGGGAAUAUUGCCCAAUGGGCGGCAGCCUGGUGCAGCAACGCCGCGUGCGGGAUGACGGCCUUAGGGUUGUAAACCGCUUUCGCCUGUGACGAAGCGUGAGUGACGGUAAUGGGUAAAGAAGCACCGGCUAACUACGUG